GCGUCGGUGAUGCAACGGUUCAGCAAGCGCUCUCGAAAAAGAGUGGCAUCUGGGUUCGAAUCCCGGCUGACACA
This is a non-coding RNA of Parelaphostrongylus tenuis, 74 nucleotides long. Lineage: Eukaryota; Metazoa; Nematoda; Chromadorea; Rhabditida; Metastrongylidae. The record is from the annotation of a GenBank genome assembly.